This 301-nucleotide ribosomal RNA is filed under the name uncultured bacterium. RNAcentral describes it as "partial 16S ribosomal RNA". It matches the Rfam family "Bacterial small subunit ribosomal RNA", at positions 509 to 809 of the family's 1533-position model. The record is from RNAcentral.
CAGCAGCCGCGGUAAUACAGAGGGUGCGAGCGUUAAUCGGAUUUACUGGGCGUAAAGCGUGCGUAGGCGGCUUCUUAAGUCGGAUGUGAAAUCUUUGAGCUUAACUUAGGAAUUGCAUUCGAUACUGGGAAGCUAGAGUAUGGGAGAGGAUGGUAGAAUUCCAGGUGUAGCGGUGAAAUGCGUAGAGAUCUGGAGGAAUACCGAUGGCGAAGGCAGCCAUCUGGCCUAAUACUGACGCUGAGGUACGAAAGCAUGGGGAGCAAACAGGAUUAGAUACCCCAGUAGUCCCUGUCUCUUAUAA